RNAcentral lists this ribosomal RNA (488 nucleotides) under uncultured bacterium. Its description in RNAcentral is "bacterial SSU rRNA". It matches the Rfam family "Bacterial small subunit ribosomal RNA", at positions 1 to 507 of the family's 1533-position model. The record is from RNAcentral.
GACGUAGUUUGAUCCGUGGCUCGAGGACGAACGCUGGCGGCGUGCUUAACACAUGCAAGUCGAACGGGGUAGAGAGCUUCGGUUUCUACUUAGUGGCGAACGGGUGAGUAACGCGUGAGGAACCUGCCUCUCAGUGGGGGACAACAGUUGGAAACGACUGCUAAUACCGCAUAACACAGCGAAACCGCAUGGUUUUGCUGUCAAAGCUUUAUGUGCUGAGAGAUGGCCUCGCGUCUGAUUAGCUAGUUGCGGGUAACGGCCCACCAAGGCGACGAUCAGUAGCCGGUCUGAGAGGAUGAACGGCCACAUUGGGACUGAGAUACGGCCCAGACUCCUACGGGAGGCAGCAGUGGGGAAUAUUGGGCAAUGGGGGAAACCCUGACCCAGCAACGCCGCGUGAAGGAAGAAGGCCUUCGGGUUGUAAACUUCUUUUAGCAGGGACGAAGGACGUGACGGUACCUGCAGAAAAAGCAACGGCUAACUACGUG